CCUACGGGAGGCAGCAGUAGGGAAUCUUCCGCAAUGGACGAAAGUCUGACGGAGCAACGCCGCGUGAGUGAUGAAGGCUUUCGGGUCGUAAAACUCUGUUGUUAGGGAAGAACAAGUGCUAGUUGAAUAAGCUGGCACCUUGACGGUACCUAACCAGAAAGCCACGGCUAACUACGUGCCAGCAGCCGCGGUAAUACGUAGGUGGCAAGCGUUAUCCGGAAUUAUUGGGCGUAAAGCGCGCGCAGGUGGUUUCUUAAGUCUGAUGUGAAAGCCCACGGCUCAACCGUGGAGGGUCAUUGGAAACUGGGAGACUUGAGUGCAGAAGAGGAAAGUGGAAUUCCAUGUGUAGCGGUGAAAUGCGUAGAGAUAUGGAGGAACACCAGUGGCGAAGGCGACUUUCUGGUCUGUAACUGACACUGAGGCGCGAAAGCGUGGGGAGCAAACAGGAUUAGAUACCCUGGUAGUCCACGCCGUAAACGAUGAGUGCUAAGUGUUAGAGGGUUUCCGCCCUUUAGUGCUGAAGUUAACGCAUUAAGCACUCCGCCUGGGGAGUACGGCCGCAAGGCUGAAACUCAAAUGAAUUGACGGA
This 589-nucleotide ribosomal RNA is filed under the name uncultured bacterium. RNAcentral describes it as "bacterial SSU rRNA". It matches the Rfam family "Bacterial small subunit ribosomal RNA", at positions 338 to 917 of the family's 1533-position model. The record is from RNAcentral.